Molecule: long non-coding RNA, 926 nt
Organism: Drosophila rhopaloa
Lineage: Eukaryota; Metazoa; Arthropoda; Insecta; Diptera; Drosophilidae
Exons: 3
Source: RefSeq, a predicted model, not a curated record
UCUAAGGGCAUCAAAAGGUAAAUAAAAAACAAAAAGGUAAAUAUGGGAACUAAAUGACGAAAAGUGGAGUAUAAAUGGACUUGCCGAUGCGCACCCACCCAUCCUAUUAUACCCCUUCGUCAGUUUAGCUCCUCAAUAAUGGGAAUUCCCUAAGGCAACAAUGGCAUAAAAAAACUGCCACCUGAUGGGUAAGGUAAAGUUUUAUCAGUUCUGCUCAACCAAUUCCUAUUGGCAGACCCUAAGUUGUACAACCGGACACAAGCGCGAGGGAUCACGAAUAUUACAAACGGACAGGAGUUAAGCCAAAUUGAUUUGCAACACCAUCCAAAGAUUUAGAAAGACGCCACCUAAUCACAGGCCACUCGACAAAAUCAUAGGGAGCAUAUGGAUAGAAGCCUGGUGAAAUCCUCAGGUGCAGUUCCAAGCACGCUGGCCGGGAAGUACUGCUCCAGAUGUUGCCUACGAUCGUUUACUUUGUGCCUCCUUUCAGGUUACACCCGUAUGUCGUUGGCGUGGUACACGAGUAACCGACACCUUGCAGAAUCUCCGGCUCGUAGGCAUUGUUUCCAACCGCUUUCACGACGAAGUUGAGGCGAUACACUUCUUGGCCCGGCUUCACUAGGAACGUCCGAGCUCUCUGGUCGUACCGCUGGCGACUUCGUUCGUACGAGCUUUCAAGCCUCUUCUUUAGAUCAUAUGGCAUAGAUCACUUUCAGUUUGUCGGUCGUUCCCGUUCCUUAAAUCUAAUGGUCGCAUAUAGACUUCAAUAUUCUCGCCAACUUGUAAUGUUCGAAAAUCCUGUGAAAGGGGACUUCGCCAGUUGCCGAGUGAAUGGCGUUGAAAAUGGCCAUCACAGUUUCGGGAGAUCCCAUUCUUGAUGGUCGUCCUUUAUGAAACUCCGGGUAGCCUAUGAGCUCAUCCUCGAU